This 727-nucleotide ribosomal RNA is filed under the name uncultured bacterium. RNAcentral describes it as "bacterial SSU rRNA". It matches the Rfam family "Bacterial small subunit ribosomal RNA", at positions 8 to 756 of the family's 1533-position model. The record is from RNAcentral.
AGAGUUUGAUCCUGGCCGUCAUUUUACACCGGCGGCGUGCUUAACACAUGUAAGUCGAACGAUGAAGUCCUUUUGGAUGGAUUAGUGGCGCACGGGUGAGUAAUAUAUAGGUAAUGUGCCCCAAAGACCGGGAUAGCCACUGGAAACGGUGAUUAAUACUGGAUACACCUUUUAGAUUCAAGUCUAAAAGGGAAAUGUUUUUUCGCUUUGGGAUCGGCCUAUAUCCUAUCAGCUAGUUGGUGAGGUAAAAGCUCACCAAGGCAAUGACGGGUAGCGGGUUUGAGAGGAUGAUCCGCCACACUGGUACUGAGACACGGACCAGACUCCUACGGGAGGCAGCAGUGAGGAAUAUUGCACAAUGGGGGAAACCCUGAUGCAGCAACGCCGCGUGGAGGAUGACGCAUUUCGGUGUGUAAACUCCUUUUAUUAGGGAAGAAAAUGACGGUACCUAAUGAAUAAGCACCGGCUAACUCCGUGCCAGCAGCCGCGGUAAUACGGAGGGUGCAAGCGUUACUCGGAAUCACUGGGCGUAAAGGACGCGUAGGCGGGUUGGAAAGUCAGGUGUGAAAUCCUACAGCUUAACUGUAGAACUGCACUUUGAAACUUUCUAAUCUAGAGUAUGGGAGGUGUAGAUGGAAUUAUUGGUGUAGGGGUAAAAUCCGUAGAUAUCACUAGGAAUACCGAAGCGAAAGCGAUCUCCUGGAACAGUACUGACUCUAAUGCUUGA